This 375-nucleotide ribosomal RNA is filed under the name uncultured bacterium. RNAcentral's name for it is "bacterial SSU rRNA". It matches the Rfam family "Bacterial small subunit ribosomal RNA", at positions 521 to 896 of the family's 1533-position model. The record is from RNAcentral.
UAAGACGAACCGUGCGAACGUUAUUCGGAAUCACUGGGCUUAAAGGGCGCGUAGGCGGACUCGUUAGUCAGGGGUGAAAGCCCACGGCCCAACCGUGGAAGUGCCUUUGAUACUGCGAGUCUCGAGGGGGAUAGGGGCGUGCGGAACUCAGGGUGGAGCGGUGAAAUGCGUAGAUAUCCUGAGGAACACCGGUGGCGAAAGCGGCGCGCUGGAUCCCUUCUGACGCUGAGGCGCGAAAGCCAGGGGAGCAAACGGGAUUAGAUACCCCGGUAGUCCUGGCCCUAAACGUUGGGUACUAGGUAGCGGCCUGUCAUGGGGUCGCUGCCGGAGCAAAAGUGUUAAGUACCCCGCCUGGGGAGUAUGGUCGCAAGGCUG